GGGGCAGCGGGGUUGUAGCAAUACAACUGCCGGCGACCGGCGCACGGGUGAGUAACACGUAUGUAACCUGCCCUCUGCAGGGGGAUAAGCGGAAGAAAUUCCGUCUAAUACCGCAUAAUACAAUUUGGAGACAUCUCCGGGUUGUCAAAGGAGUGAUCCGGCAGAGGAUGGACAUGCGGCGCAUUAGCUAGUCGGCGGGGUAACGGCCCACCGAGGCUACGAUGCGUAGGGGUUCUGAGAGGAAGGUCCCCCACACUGGUACUGAGACACGGACCAGACUCCUACGGGAGGCAGCAGUGAGGAAUAUUGGUCAAUGGGCGGAAGCCUGAACCAGCCAAGUCGCGUGAGGGAAGACGGUCCUAUGGAUUGUAAACCUCUUUUGCAGGGGAGCAAGGCGCGGUACGUGUACCGCGAAGGAGAGUACCCUGAGAAAAAGCAUCGGCUAACUCCGUGCCAGCAGCCGCGGUAAUACGGAGGAUGCGAGCGUUAUCCGGAUUUAUUGGGUUUAAAGGGUGCGCAGGCGGACUGUUAAGUCAGCGGUAAAAUGUCGGUGCUCAACACCGGCCGGCCGUUGAAACUGGCAGCCUUGAGUGAGCGAGAAGUAUGCGGAAUGCGUGGUGUAGCGGUGAAAUGCAUAGAUAUCACGCAGAACUCCGAUUGCGAAGGCAGCAUACCGGCGCUCAACUGACGCUCAGGCACGAAAGCGUGGGUA
This 712-nucleotide ribosomal RNA is filed under the name uncultured bacterium. RNAcentral's name for it is "bacterial SSU rRNA". It matches the Rfam family "Bacterial small subunit ribosomal RNA", at positions 66 to 767 of the family's 1533-position model. The record is from RNAcentral.